GAACCAAUGCUAACAUUAGAUAUUUUUUGGUAGCUAUUUGACCAUGCAUGUUCUAGCUACAUAUGUUCCUAAUAAUCAAUGUCGACAAAGGUUGAUUCUACAAAGUAAUCUAACCUUCAGAGUCAUCUGUAUUUUUCCAAACCAUUUUUUGUAAUCUAAGGAAUAUAUCUCGAAGUGGUCUCCCUACUUGCAUCCAAAUAUACAAAAUUAGCAUGUCACAGUCAUAGGGAAAACUCUCAGCCGUGAUCCAAGCACAACUCUAGCUUGCUGAUACACUCUCGGCCUUAAAGAAACUAUCACUCCAAAACACUGUCCAGAUUUAAAGAACUCGAUGUUUCCUGACCCACUCUCAUGGAUACUUCCUAAUUUCCAGAUUCUUAAGAAUCAUAUAAUGUCUAUGAGUAAGACAGCAGAAAGAACCUAGCAUAAUGCCCUUACCUUACGUAUCUACGAUGUAAAUAUGCUAUCUAUAAGAGAACAAUGCCAAUGACUUGGCAGCUCCAAUUCCCAGUCAGUCUUUCAUUCCAGAGACAUAAUUCUCAUAUGUACCAUGUUCACGACCAAUAGGCUCUCACGUUUCAUGAUUUUAAGAAGGAUAUAAUCCAGGCCGAAGACAACCAAAAAGAUGGAUCAUGUGAACUUUUCUGCUAAGGCACUAAACAGAUAAUAAGACCAUAACUCCACCAAGGUGAUUUUGUCAAGCUAGAAAGCAAGAAAAUAUGCUUGAUGAUGUCAUGAGACACCUGGUCACCUUUCAUCAUGCAAACGCCCACAUGAUUGUGUAAGAAAUGCACCUCAAUUUUUCAAGUAUCUUGUAGAAUAUUAUCAUCCAUGAUGAUUCUUGUCUAAAGCAUGAAUGCAUCUACAUUUAGGCCACCAACACAGCUACCCUCAAAAUCUCUGAGCAAAUACAUACAAGAAGGCUUGCAUAUAUUAAUACCCACAACUAUUCCAAUCACUUUGUCUUGGUUCUUUACUUAACAUUAUUUCAUUCAGGCUCACAUCUUACUUAACAUUAUUCCAAGAACAAUGACUUUGAGAAAUCAAAAUAUAGAUCUCAACAAGCUGCAAAACCUGUCAGUCUCCAAGUUGAAGGAACUUUCUAUUUAAUGCAAAGCUUACAACUGAAAACAUGGUGCGAUUUUGUCCUAUUUUCUCCAAAGCUCCAACUCCAAAAAAGACACAGUCCUAAGUUUAAGACAUAAUAACCACCUCGUGCCCCACAACAUGACAACCCAUCCUUCCCCAAUGUCUCAAACCAACAGCUGAAUCGCAAGCAAAGAUCACACGCUACUUUUUCCCAUGUCCUUUUUUUAUCUUUCAUUUAAUAUAUGGAAUGUCACCAUACACACGCGGAAAACUUAAAUUAAAAAGAAGAUAUAGCAGUAGCACAUAAUACAUACAUCGGUAUCUUCUGCACAAAUUUUGUCCCCCCAAAACCAAAAAAGGUGUGAUCAACACCCUAUAAUUAGAAAAAACGAAGAAAAAAAAAUACAAUAAUAAUGUACAAGAUCCAAGAAAAUGAACACAAAUCACAGGGCAGAGUAUAAAAGGACCAGAAAAUUGACAGAAAAGGAGCAGAACCGAAACACAGUACAAGAAACAGUUAGCAGCAAAAGUUUGAUCAUCCGAGAAACAAAACAAGCACACGCUACCUCAGACUACCGAAUAGAAACAUCAAAGUACCAUCCAGGAAACUCCGGCAGAACAAAGUCGAGAACAGAAAAACGAACAAGCUCCGAAGCGAGAAAGAUACAGAGAGCUUACCCGGGAAAGAAGCCUUCUUCAAGAAUGGGAGUGAGGGAUUCCCACCAUUCCGUCGAUCUCCAUGAAUCCCCGAUCGAGGUGAUAGCCCCGAAGCUUUCACGGCGGGGAAGCGAAUCCCCGCGAACGGGAAGGCCAUCGAUCAAGAACCAAGAACAAGAAGAUAACUCGAGGGUUUACGGAAGGAGGAGGGAAACAGUACGAGACGGGAGUUAUGGUUCUUGAUCUGGAUCCAAGAGCGAGUGGGGUUUGAGAGUGAGGCGCGGCGCGCGGGGAGGCGAAGGGAGUGACGGAUCCCCAGGACUUCUCUCUGUUUCCUUUGAAUGAUUCAAUGCGCGGUUGCUACGUGUGGGGAGGAGAGUUAACAGCUGUCGGCUCGUAACGGAGUGGGCGAGCAGAAAGCUGGAUAGGAGAUCAGCAACGAAAGGCGUCAGCCAUUUUGGGAAAGGCGGUUUGCUUUUAUUCUGGAAGCCAGAGGGGACUGUGCGCAGGUGUGGAACAAAACUCUCAGUGAUAACAGAGAUUCCUGGAUUAUAGGCGUUCGACGAGAGAUGGAUACCAAUGUUCAUUGGUUAAGUUAGAGUUGGAGUCAUUUGACUUGACUCAAGCUAACUACAGUUGAUAUUGUUCAGAUUUCUUUAUAUAGUACGAAUUAAAUUUAAAGUUCAACGGAGUGCUUGCCAAUGUUGAACAUGUGAAAAUAACUCACUAAUAAAUUGAUAAAUUGAUAUAUAUGAUCCGCCCUAUUUCCAUUUGUGUUCUCGGACUUGUUCAUCAGGGAUCUAGUUUUAGAUAUUUUUUUCUUCAAUAUGUCAUGCUGACAAUUAUAUAAUAUGCAAAAAAAAAAAAGAGGAAUUAAACAUGAGAUAUAGCCUCUAAGAUAGAAAAUGAGUAAAUUUGUUGCUAAAUACUAAAUUUGAUGCUGAUAAUUUAUUACAAUGCAACAUGUUGCACCCAAAGACUCGUAACUCGGUACAUGAGAUAUUAUUUAUUUUGAUACAUGGACUUCACGAUUUUAUCCUUCAAAAAAUAUCUCACAUGAGAAGAAUAAUUUUUUUGACUCAUAAUCAAUGUGAGACUAAUAAUAUUCUCCUUUCUAUACCACAAUAUAAUUUUCCAAUCAAUUGAGACAAAUGAUGCUCUUUUCUUAUUUUUAUCAAAUCUUCUAGCUGGUACGUUAUUAUUACGGUUAAGAACUCAUAGUUAGGCACGUGAAGUAUUAUUCAUUUUAAUCUAUAGAUCUCAUAAUUUUAUUUUUCAAAAAAUAUUUUAUAUAAAAAAAAUAAUUUUUUUAUAUAAGAUAGAAUCUUCUUUGACUCACAAUUAAUAUCAGAUUAAUUAUAUUUUUUUUAUAUUAUAAUUUAAUUUUUUAAUUAAAAUAAUAUAAAAAUAAAUCUCAUUUGGAGUCGAUCUGUUUAGCAAACAAAUAAAAUAACUUCUAUUCAAAAAAAUAAAUAAAAUAAUUUUGUAUGAAUAAAAAAAAAUGUUGCUUGAGAGAGAGAAAGAGAGAAAAAAAAUAAUAAUAAUAAUGAUAACGUUUUUAUCUCUUAAAAUCUGUGCGGCAAUCACCAAACACAUACCCAUGCGAGUGGGUCAAUAUAUCGACAGGUUGGACUAUCGAGUGCCAGAACCAUUCUGAUCGAGAGAAAUUUUGUACACUGUGGAUAGCGCAGAAUCACACACAUCGUCCAAAAUAAUUGACUCACAUAUAAAAUUAAAAAAAAAUUAUACAUUAUAUUUUCACCCCAUACGCGAGCUAAUCGUUAUGAAUGGUGCGCACGUUCCGCACCACUUGCGGUGCAUAAAGAAUUUCUCUUCUGACAGGUCAGGGGCCAACUUGACAAAUAAGCAAGCUGACCGUCCACGGCCUUUAAGAGCACCAAUCACUGAUUAGUCCAUGCUUUUUAAGCCACCGACGAGAAAGCUGCAAAGGACACUUAAUUUUAAGGAUUUUUGGCGCUACAAACCGAUAGAAACGAACAAACACCGUGUGGGGGAAAUAAAUUUUAUAAUUUAUUAUAUAUUUUUUAAUAUAAAUUUUAAAAAAUAAUUUUAAAAAUUAUUAAUAAAAUUAUUAGUCUUAUAAUUAAACCAUUCUUUUUCUUGUUCAUUUUCAAUAUAUAUUUUUAACGAUACAUACUAUAUAACCAUAUGAUACACACUAAAUAUAUAGUCAGAUGAUAUAUACCGUAAGCUUUUCUGAUAUACACCCAGCAACGAUCCAAUAUACAUCUAUAACUAAAUUGAUACAUAGUUUAUCAAACUUAAUAUUCACCAGUACACAGAUAUGAAUAAUUGAUACAUACGUAGCAAAAUAUUCAUCCGAUGUCUCAAUACAUACAUAUAGAUAAAGCAAUAUAUAGUUUUUAAAAUAUAACAUUCAUCAAUAUAUAAUAUAUGACUAAAUAAUACAUACUAGACAGCUUACUGAUACAUAUUAUAAAUUUUCUUAAUACACAUCCAAUAAUGACCAAUAUAUAUCUACAGAUAAAUUGAUACAUAGUUUACCAAAUUUAAUAUCUACCAGUACACAGUAAAUAGUCACUUGAUACAUACCUAAUAAAAUAUUUAUUUGAUGUCCCAAUACAUACUUUUAGAUAAAAUGAUAUAUAAUUUUUAUGAAUUUUUAAAUAAAGAUCUUAGAAAAGAAGAAAGAUUUAGAAGAGGAGAAAAAGAUUUGAAGAAGACCUCGUGGAUAGGAAAGAUAACAUAUGGAGUUUGUAAGACAAGAAGGAGACUUAGAAGGAAAAUUUUGUGGAUGAAAAAAAUAGCUUGAUAAGAAAGGUAAUAGAUAGAGAAAUUUGAUUAGGAAGAAGAAUAUAAAUAGUCACGAAAGAUCUCUCUUAGAUAUGCAUCUUAUUUUAUUUUUUUAUUAUUUUAAUUAUGAAACUAAUGAACUCUGUUAACGAGAGAAAUACAAUUCUUGUUUGACUUUUAGACUCCCUUUUUAAGAUGCGAAAAAAAAAAACAUAACAUGAAACUAGACUCACCUCAUAUGAUGGCCUAUAGUACCUGUUGGGAUAUACCGACCGGUCUCUCUCACGCUGACUCACCGUUGGGUCUGCCUGACCGGCAUCCGACUCUACCAACCGACGACUGCCGACGCUAUCCAACCGAAGGUAUGUCGGUAGGGCAAACCCUUUCCGUUCUCGACUGGCCGAACGAUGGAGCCCGACCUCCGACUUUCGCAAUGCAUCAGACUAACCGUCGGAGGGGGGGGUCCCUGGGUCUUCACCCGACAUCCCAGCCGGUCGGCUCCCUCAAACGCCGUACAACUGCUGAGGGCCACCAUCCUGACAAAGGCAUGCGGCAUAGCCGCCCUGGGACAUUGUCCUGCCAAGGACAUAGAUUAAUCCCGAUGAUUUGACAACCCAUUAUGACUUGACAGUCCGUGGCGACUCUGACAGCCUCCGACGAUUUGACAACUCCCCCCAGUUGUCUGCACCAUUAAUGACGGCACCACGCCGCGCUCUACUAUAAAAAGGAGAAGGCAACAGUGCUGCGGGAGGUUCUUUCGAAGCCCCUGAACUCCCCCUCUCUAGUUCUCUCUCUCUCUCUCUCGCUGAGCUCCCCUGAUUCUUUCCUACUGUUGCCUAGUCUCCUCUCUGACUUGACCGUCGGAGGGUCCCCGUCGGAGGCAUCUCCGGUCAGUGUGGACUUCCCUUGCAGGUGUUCGUUCCCGACGACCAGACGACGAGGAGAUUGGCCGCAACAGGUUUUGGCGCGUCAGGUAAGGGAGGUCUGACCUCCACAGAGCUUGAAAAAAUUCUUUCGAAAUGACAAGAACCAGGGCUCAGCGAUCGAGGGCCACCAGGUCGGCGAGGCACUCUUCCUGUCGGGAAGAGACCUCUCCUCCACCCUCCAUGGUGGAGCCCAGCUCUCCGCAUCCUGUGGUGACCACGGAGGCGCAAAUUGCGGCAAUUGUGCGGCAGAUGACUAUGCUGAUGGAUGCAGUCAAGAGCCUUCAACAACAACCAAUCCGGUUGCCGCAAUCGUCGGUGGGGCAACCGGCGGUGCACCCGAUGCCCUCCAGGAGCAUCCACCGACGCCCGUGUCGGUCUCCGUCUCCUCCUCUGGAGCAGCUGUCACAGCACUCCCAUCGAGAGGAGGAGAGGCGGCCAUGGCAUGAUACCCAUCGAUCCCGACAACCGUCUCCUUCCUAGCUGGAACGAGCGAGGAAGGAGAAGCGGCCACGAACACCGUCUGCCUCCCUCUCGGAUUCGUCGGGGGACUCCACCCCCGGGGUCUCCCAGCUCCGAUGGGCCGACGAUUACGAACGCAGGUUCGAAGAAAUCGAUUGUCGGCUCGCCCAGCUUCAGGUGGAUGGGUAGAAGUCUUCGAACGACGUCAACUUUCAGACUGCCCAACCUCUCUCCCGACUCAUCCUCGAUGAGCUGAUCUCUAGUCGGUUCAAGAUGCCUCAUGUGGAGCCCUAUGAUGGCUCCACCGACCCAAUCGACCAUCUGGAGAGCUACAAGGCUCUCAUGACGAUUCAAGGGGCAACCGAUGCUCUUCUCUGUAUCGGCUUCCCCGCCACACUUCGUAAGACCGUCAGGGCCUGGUACUCCAGCCUCCACUCAGGAAGCAUCCACUCCUUCGGACAGCUCGAGCAUACUUUCGUGGCCCAUUUCAGCACCAGCCGAAAGCCCCCACGAACUUCGGACAGCCUUUUUUCCCUCAAGCAGGGGAAAAACGAGACUCUCCGAUACUUUGUGAUGCGAUUCAACGUGGCCACGCUUGAGGUUCGAGACCUCAACGAAGACAUGGCUAUCUCAGCCAUGAAAAGAGGGGUAAGAAAAUCCCGAUUUACGUACUCCUUGGACAAGACCCUCCUCCGGACAUACGUCGAACUGCUGGAGCACGCAUACAAAUACAUGCGCGUAGACGAAGGAGCUUCCGACCGGCGUCUGACUGAGGCCAAGGGUCCGAAGGAGAAGUGAAGGAAGGGUCGGACCCCUGCCGAGCCUAGCAGACCCUCGAUCGACAAACAGGUCUCACCCCAGUGAUGGAGCCCGAGAUCGCCUCGACGGCGAAGUCCGAGGCCGAUGUAUCCCAGGUAUGACUCCUAUACUCUCAUUUCUGCUCCUCGUGCGCAGACUUUGAUGGAGAUUGAAGGGGAAGAAUAUUUGCGACGACCUCCGUCUUUGAAGGCAAAGGGCCUCGACCAGCGAAAGUACUAUCGAUUUCAUCAGGGCCACGGCCACAACACCGAGCAGUGCAUCCAACUCAAGGACAAAAUUGAGGCCCUCAUACGUCGGGGGUAUCUCGAAAAAUUUCGAAGAAAACCGUCGACCCGACCCGUCCCGUCCCCGACCGACGACCCCAAUCGACCGAGGAAGCAGCGAACAAUCAGCCCACGGUCGAGGUCAUCAACAUGAUCUCCAAACGACUGGACUCGGGGAUGACUGCUGGAGGGGAGUCGACGAAGAAGCUACGCCAAGACAAUGUAAUUAUUUUUACAGACGAGGAUGCUCGGAGAAUUCAAACUUCCCAUGAUGAUGCUGUUGUUGUCUCAGCAACAAUAGCAAAUUAUGAUGUAAGAAGAAUCUUUGUUGAUAAUGAAAGUUCGACUAAUGUUUUAUUUUAUUCGACCUUCUCCCGAAUGCGACUGUCGACUGAUCGGCUCGAAAGAGUCUCCACACCCCUGGUGGGUUUCACCGGAGAAGCCGUCACGGUGGAAGGAGAAGUUACUCUUUCUGUGACAGCUGAAAUCGAACCACGAUAAAGUACCAUCCACCUAACCUUUACAGUCGUUCAAGUACCUUCGGCCUACAAUGCCAUACUUGGAAGACCUGGGCUAAAUACCCUCAAAGCUAUAGUCUCGACCUACCACCUGCUGGUUCGUUUUCCGACCAAAAAUGGAGUCGGAGAUAUGCGGGGAGAUCAACAGCUCACUCGGUGAUGCUUCCAAAUUUUUGCUCAAAGUAAUGAAGCAAAGGACUCCCUGACGGUCGACAAGUUGGACCAGCGGGGAGAGAAAGAAUGGGGCGAACCGACCGAACAGCUGGUUUUCGUCCCGAUAGCAGGGAAUCCCGAAUGAGUGGUCUGGGUCGGAUCCCAAUUAUCCGACCCUGAGCAACGGCAGCUAGUAGAACUGCUGAAGGCCAAUACCGACGUAUUCGCUUGGUCGGCAGCGGAUAUGUCUGGCAUCCCCCCUGAGACGAUGACUCACCGACUCAACAUCAACCCUGAAAUGAGGUCGGUGAGGCAGAAGAAGCGAUCUUUCG
RNAcentral lists this long non-coding RNA (7991 nucleotides) under Elaeis guineensis (African oil palm). RNAcentral's name for it is "long non-coding RNA (EGUI_LNC004144)". Lineage: Eukaryota; Viridiplantae; Streptophyta; Magnoliopsida; Arecales; Arecaceae. The record is from RNAcentral.